Molecule: ribosomal RNA, 725 nt
Filed under: uncultured archaeon
Lineage: Archaea
Description: bacterial SSU rRNA
Rfam family: Archaeal small subunit ribosomal RNA
Source: RNAcentral
GGGAAACUGAGGAUAAUACUGGAUAGGCAAUUUUUCCUGUAAUGGUUUUUUGUUUAAAUGUUUUUUCGCCUAAGGAUGGGUCUGCGGCCGAUUAGGUAGUUGGUUAGGUAAUGGCUUACCAAGCCGUUGAUCGGUACGGGUUGUGAGAGCAAGAGCCCGGAGAUGGAACCUGAGACAAGGUUCCAGGCCCUACGGGGUGCAGCAGGCGCGAAACCUCCGCAAUGUGAGAAAUCGCGACGGGGGGAUCCCAAGUGCCAUUCUUAACGGGAUGGCUUUUCAUUAGUGUAAAGAGCUUUUGGAAUAAGAGCUGGGCAAGACCGGUGCCAGCCGCCGCGGUAACACCGGCAGCUCUAGUGGUAACAAUUUUUAUUGGGCCUAAAGCGUCCGUAGCCGGUUUAAUAAGUCUCUGGUGAAAUCCUGUAGCUUAACUGUGGGAAUUGCUGGAGAUACUAUUAGACUUGAGACCGGGAGAGGUUAGAGGUACUCCCAGGGUAGAGGUGAAAUUCUGUAAUCCUGGGAGGACCGCCUGUUGCGAAGGCGUCUAACUGGAACGGUUCUGACGGUGAGGGACGAAAGUUAGGGGCGCGAACCGGAUUAGAUACCCGGGUAGUCCUAACUGUAAACGAUGCGGACUUGGUGUUGGGGUGGCUUUGAGCUGCUUCAGUGCCGAAGGGAAGCUGUUAAGUCCGCCGCCUGGGAAGUACGGUCGCAAGACUGAAACUUAA